CGGCUCUAGUGCUAUGGAAGCCAC
RNAcentral lists this non-coding RNA (24 nucleotides) under Arabidopsis thaliana (thale cress). Lineage: Eukaryota; Viridiplantae; Streptophyta; Magnoliopsida; Brassicales; Brassicaceae. The record is from RNAcentral.